This 3680-nucleotide long non-coding RNA is filed under the name Homo sapiens (human). RNAcentral's name for it is "HSALNT0342109". Lineage: Eukaryota; Metazoa; Chordata; Mammalia; Primates; Hominidae. The record is from RNAcentral.
AGAGAAAGAACUAUGGGCUCCGCCCCUCCAGCCGCGGUCAUCACAGAAUGGCCUGGCACGGUGACCACGGAGUGCCCUGGCACCGGUGCCCGCGGCUGUGACGGAAAAAGGGUGGGAAGAACAGGGAAGAGGAAGCAGAAACAGGUUAUCUGUUCACUCUGAUGGUAGAGAAGACCUUAAAUGACCUGAUGGAGCUGAAAACCAUGGCGAGAACUUCCUGCCUUCGAUUUCUCACAAGCUCGGGCAUACCACGAGGCUUGGAGACUCAAAACCUGAAGAGCCUGCAAUCAGAUUUCUCCCUUACUAUUCCUGCUCAUUGUCUUCUGUGGACUAAUACUGAACAUGAAACUUUGCUUACAGUUUUGUGGCCUGUUCCUUUCCUCUGAUUGCUGAUCAUUGCAUGAAUUUCCUGAGAUUAUCACUGAAUAGGACCUUUCUUUUUCCUGUAUCCUCUACUACACACACUGAGUUCAAAUAGAAUUAUUUUACUUGGAAAACUCCAGGUUUUGCUAAGUUCCAGCCUUGGUUUGUGUAGCACUGGUUGGCUGCCUUAGACUAAUUUUUUGGGGGUGUCAGAUAGUAAAAGGAGCACAAUCAAGCACCAGGUCAUCUGAAAGACAAAUUUUAGACGUCACUUUCUUUUGUGAUUUUGUUGCUUAACCCAGUGCAGGGGCAGUCAAAGCUGUAUCACCAUUGCAUUCACUGUCUAGGUAAAAAUGGGAAAAUUCAGUCAGUUAUACUAAUAUUCCUUACUACUUGCAAUUUAUGUUCACUGGCCUAUUGGUAUGAGCAAUGCAUUGUACAUUACAUAUUUGGCAGUAAAAGGACAGAUACCCAGAUGUCAUACUAAAAUUUCUGCAUUUGUUUGAAAAUACUAGUUUAAGCAAUUACAUGUUAUGCAAGUGGUUAGUCCUUCCCUCUCCAGCUUGGCUGCCACCAGUAAUAAUGGAUCAUAACAUCUUCUCCUGUGUGAUCUGAUGCGGCCUUGGGAUUCGUCCCAACGCAGGACUCCAGAGAUCAGUGGAUCAGUGAAUUAUGUUUGGGAGAUGCAACCCCUGUUGUUACUGGGCUGGGGGCCCAAGCAGCUGCUGGUGGGGUGUUCUGCCCUGCAGCAGCACCCUACCUCCACCCUCCCCUUUACAUUUAGAAGAACUGUCCUUUAGUGAGACUGUCAAUGGAAAACAUGAAAAUCAUUCAUUUAAUCCAACAUUUUCAAUCGCAGAGGAAAAACAAGCAGAAGAGUUAAGUCACCAGAGUCAUACAGCUGGUAGGAAAAAUGGGUUCUCUAAAUCUCAGUUUAAACAGAAAUCCUUGUCACACUCUUCUGGGGAUUGAGAAGCGUAAGAUUUUUUUUUUUUUUUUUAAUUGCCUUUCUGAAACUUUAGAAGAAUACCUAUUUGCCCUGUUGGCCAAAACCAGGCAACUGUGUGAAACAGUUGAAUGCUAAAACAAACUAAACAGAUGCUGGAAACUCAACCGUUUGUUUCUUGAACAAAAUUGAUUUUACCUGAUGUCCUCUUGAGCUCAGUUAGACUUUGCCAGAGAGAAAACGAGACUGUCUGCAACUUUAACAAUAAUCACACAGACACAUACUUCUUUCCCCCUUUAGUUUCCCAUUUUGAAAAUAACUCGAGGGCCUGACAAAUGCUGAGUUUGGGCAACAUGGCUGUGUUCUUGAUUGAGGAAAGCAGGCCUGCCUGACCGUGUUUCAACAGUCAGUGCAGAAUCUCAAAAGGAAGUACAAAUAGGAAGGGUUAAGGGUCCUCUUUUUUUGUUCUUUAUUCCACCCGUUGCACACUAGGGUUCUCUCACUUCUUCUUUCAAAUAGGCUUCUCAAAAUGCACUGUGUAUUGGAGCAAAGGGAGUGAGGGAUUGUUUAUUUUUAUUUUUAAAUAAGAAAUGAAACCUAUAAAUUAAUGCCCUAGGGAAAAAAGAAAGUUACUUUCUGCUAUGCACAAUUUUUACCAACAUUGUGUUGGAAGGAAGAAGCAGCUGGCCUGCGGAAGCUAAGCAGAUGCUGGGGCUCUCUCGAGCAGGCUAAGUUGGUGAAAGGUCAGUCCCACACCCACAGCCUGGGCGGGACUGCCUGGCUGCAGAGUCAACAAGGGGAAGUUUAGUAGGUGAAGGGUCACUGCUGCCGAGCAGCAAUAACUUUCCAUGCCUCAGCUCCCAGGCAUCUAGUUUCUGUUCAUGGAAAUAGAGCUCACUAGGGGAAAGGUCGGGGAGACCAAGGCGUCUCUAUCAUAGCCCUGAUCUGACACUGUGUUCUUGCAUGAGGCUCAGCUACUCACUGUGUUCUUGCGUGAGUCUCCUGGCUGUUAGGAAUUCUGCUGCUCAAGUGGAAAAAACAGAUUGCAAAGUACUUCAUAGAUCACCCUGUACUGAGUAUGGCAAACUGAUCAACAGCCUACUUACUGCUACAUUUAUAUUAUUUAAAAUAACUGCCAGGUGAGAUUCUUUUCAAAAGUGUAUUUCAAUAAAGAAACCUGUAGGUUUUCUUAUCAAUUGCUCUAGAGCAAUGAUUCCUAAUCUUCAGGUAGUUUAAUUUGCAACAUUGCUGUGAAAUCUUUAAAACAUGGUGUUUGAAAUGACUCCAGGUCAGCAGAGAACUUCUCCAUGUUCUAGACAAGUGCUUUUUAGAUUGUGGGUUGUAACUAAUUAGUGGAUCAUGAAAUCAGUUUAAUGAGUCACGAACAGCAUUAAAAUGAAAUAGAAUCAAGGGAAAAAAGCAUCUUUGUGGUAAGGGCAGUUUUUUUUUUUUUUUUUUUUUUGGUGUCAAAUUUUUGUUUCAGGUCUAUCUGAAUGAUGAUGUAAGAAGACCACUGUUCUAGAUUUUAAGAACAAAAGCUUUGCUGCCUUGAACCCCCAAAUAAUUGCUCAAAUUCAAACUGGUUGUUAGCUUUUUUAAAAGCUCAGCUGAUUCCGCAGGAUGUUGUGGCUGUGAACUGGGAAGCCUGCCAUGCUAUUAUUUUGAAAAGUGCUGUGCAAACAGUGUUCCUCUCAGAUGGUUUCCAGAGUUAGUUCCUUACAAGCAUUUCCUCUUGAAACAUCGGGAAUCUAAAUAAAGAGAAAGGUGUCUAAUGGUCUAGUCUACCAACUUCACUAUGCUGAUUUAUGAAAGAAUUGCUGAAACCCAGUGAAUAAUAGCAUUUGCCCUUCUUUCUCAAAAAAGCAGCAUUUGCUUUCUUCUGGCAAGGAAUAAUUAAGCUAAUUUCUCCAUGAACCUUGGAAAAAGUGGCAACGAAUAAUGGAUUUGUCCCUCAAAGAACAUUUCAAGCAAACAUCUUAUCAGCUACAAAUUCAUUUGAGGCAGUUCCAGGUCAGCCACAGGCAAUUUUUCUCAUUAAAAUACUGUUUAAACUGUUGUAUCCAGAUGACACAGGAGACAUAUCAGACAAACAACACCUGCAAGAAGAAUUGGUGAAGUAUUGACUUUUCAUCAAUCAAAAAGUUUACUAAGCAGAUGAAAAUAAUUUGCCUUCACAGUGACAUUUUCCUGACGUCUUGCUAGUACUUAAAGGCAUUGUUUUUUCUUUAACACCCAAACUUUAAUUACCAGAAAAGGUUAGCAUCAAAACAAAGGACAUGUUGGUAAUUUAGAGGCCAUAUCAGAAAAAUAAAUUCAUUUUGGUUUGAAUGAAUUUUUUGUCUUGUCUCCUUCUCCCCCUUUGGCCACAUCC